CUAACAAGGAUUCCCCUAGUAACGGCGAGUGAAGCGGGAAGAGCUCAAAUUUGUAAUCUGGCGGCCUGUGGUCGUCCGAGUUGUAGUCUGGAGAAGCGUUUUCUGCGUCGGACCGUGUACAAGUCCCUUGGAACAGGGCGUCACAGAGGGUGAGAAUCCCGUCUUUGACACGGACUGCCGGUGCUUUGUGAUGCGCUCUCGAAGAGUCGAGUUGUUUGGGAAUGCAGCUCAAAACGGGUGGUAAAUUCCAUCUAAAGCUAAAUAUUGGCGAAAGACCGAUAGCGAACAAGUACCGUGAGGGAAAGAUGAAAAGCACUUUGGAAAGAGAGUUAAACAGUACGUGAAAUUGUUGAAAGGGAAACGUUUGAAGUCAGUCGCGUCUCCCGGGACUCAGCCUUGCCCUUUCCGGCCUGGUGUACUUCCCUGGGAUGACGGGCCAGCAUCGAUUUUGACCGUCGGAGAAAGGCCUUGGGAACGUGGCACCUUCGGGUGUGUUAUAGCCCUCGGUCGUAUGCGACGGUUGGGAUCGAGGACCGCAGCACGCCGUUUUGUCGGCCGGGGUUCGCCCACGUACCGUGCUUAGGAUGCUGGCGUAAUGGCUUUAAGCGACCCGUCUUG
This 618-nucleotide ribosomal RNA is filed under the name Ramaria magnipes. RNAcentral describes it as "eukaryotic LSU rRNA". It matches the Rfam family "Eukaryotic large subunit ribosomal RNA", at positions 65 to 656 of the family's 3401-position model. Lineage: Eukaryota; Fungi; Basidiomycota; Agaricomycetes; Gomphales; Gomphaceae. The record is from RNAcentral.